This 1016-nucleotide ribosomal RNA is filed under the name Gilliamella apicola. RNAcentral's name for it is "bacterial LSU rRNA". It matches the Rfam family "Bacterial large subunit ribosomal RNA", at positions 1089 to 2091 of the family's 2925-position model. RNAcentral also lists the same sequence under 1 other name. Lineage: Bacteria; Pseudomonadati; Pseudomonadota; Gammaproteobacteria; Orbales; Orbaceae. The record is from RNAcentral.
ACAGCUAGGAUGUUGGCUUAGAAGCAGCCAUCAUUUAAAGAAAGCGUAAUAGCUCACUAGUCGAGUCGGCCUGCGCGGAAGAUGUAACGGGGCUAAAACUAUGCACCGAAGCUGCGGCAGUGCACGUAAGUGUAUUGGGUAGGGGAGCGUUCUGUAAGCCGUAGAAGGUAUGUUGUGAGGCAUGCUGGAGGUAUCAGAAGUGCGAAUGCUGACAUAAGUAACGAUAAAGCGGGUGAAAAGCCCGCUCGCUGGAAGACCAAGGGUUCCUGUCCAACGUUAAUCGGGGCAGGGUGAGUCGACCCCUAAGGAGAGGCCGAAGGGCGUAUCUGAUGGGAAACGGGUUAAUAUUCCCGUACUGGCUAUAACUGCGAUGGGGGGACGAAGAAGGCUAGGUUUACCACCUAUUGGAUGGUGGGUUAAGCGUGUAGGGGUGUGAUUAGGCAAAUCCGGUCACUGAGACCCUGAGGCGUGAUGACGAGCUACUAAGGUAGUGAAGUAAUUGAUGCCCUGCUUCCAGGAAAAUCCUCUAAGCUUCAGGUUAUAGUUAAUCGUACCCGAAACCGACACAGGUGGUCAGGUAGAGAAUACUCAGGCGCUUGAGAGAACUCGGGUGAAGGAACUAGGCAAAAUGGUGCCGUAACUUCGGGAGAAGGCACGCUGAUGGUAAUUGAAAUCCCGCGCGGAUGUAGGUGAAGUCAGUCGAAGAUACCAGCUGGCUGCAACUGUUUAAUAAAAACACAGCACUGUGCAAACACGAAAGUGGACGUAUACGGUGUGACGCCUGCCCGGUGCUGGAAGGUUAAUUGAUGGGGUUAUGCGUAAGCAGAAGCUCUUGAUCGAAGCCCCAGUAAACGGCGGCCGUAACUAUAACGGUCCUAAGGUAGCGAAAUUCCUUGUCGGGUAAGUUCCGACCUGCACGAAUGGCGUAAUGAUGGCCAGGCUGUCUCCACCCGAGACUCAGUGAAAUUGAAAUCGCCGUGAAGAUGCGGUGUACCCGUGGCAAGACGGAAAGACCC